GACGAACGCUGGCGGCGUGCCUAACACAUGCAAGUCGAACGGAGAUCUUAUGGACGGCGGCUUCGGCCAAAGAAAGUUUGAUCUUAGUGGCGGACGGGCGAGUAACGCGUGAGCAACCUGCCCUUCAGAGGGGAACAACAGUUGGAAACGACUGCUAAUACCGCAUAACGUCAUUUGGGGGCAUCCUCGAAUGACCAAAGAUUUUAUCGCUGAAGGAUGGGCUCGCGUCCGAUUAGAUAGUUGGUGGGGUAACGGCCUACCAAGUCGACGAUCAGUAGCCGACCUGAGAGGGUGAUCGGCCACAUUGGGACUGAGACACGGCCCAAACUCCUACGGGAGGCAGCAGUGGGGAAUAUUGGGCAAUGGGGGAAACCCUGACCCAGCAACGCCGCGUGGAGGAAGAAGGUUUUCGGAUCGUAAACUCCUGUCCUCAGGGACGAACAAAUGACGGUACCUGGAGAAAAAGCAACGGCUAACUACGUG
Molecule: ribosomal RNA, 483 nt
Filed under: uncultured bacterium
Lineage: Bacteria
Description: bacterial SSU rRNA
Rfam family: Bacterial small subunit ribosomal RNA
Source: RNAcentral